This 512-nucleotide ribosomal RNA is filed under the name uncultured bacterium. RNAcentral's name for it is "partial 16S ribosomal RNA". It matches the Rfam family "Bacterial small subunit ribosomal RNA", at positions 28 to 523 of the family's 1533-position model. The record is from RNAcentral.
GAUGAACGCUGGCGGCGUGCCUAAUACAUGCAAGUCGAACGCACAGCGAAAGGUGCUUGCACCUUUCAAGUGAGUGGCGAACGGGUGAGUAACACGUGGACAACCUGCCUCAAGGCUGGGGAUAACAUUUGGAAACAGAUGCUAAUACCGAAUAAAACUCAGUGUCGCAUGACACAAAGUUAAAAGGCGCUUUGGCGUCACCUAGAGAUGGAUCCGCGGUGCAUUAGUUAGUUGGUGGGGUAAAGGCCUACCAAGACAAUGAUGCAUAGCCGAGUUGAGAGACUGAUCGGCCACAUUGGGACUAAGACACGGCCCAAACUCCUACGGGAGGCUGCAGUAGGGAAUCUUCCACAAUGGGCGAAAGCCUGAUGGAGCAACGCCGCGUGUGUGAUGAAGGCUUUCGGGUCGUAAAGCACUGUUGUAUGGGAAGAACAGCUAGAAUAGGGAAUGAUUUUAGUUUGACGGUACCAUACCAGAAGGGACGGCUAAAUACGUGCCAGCAGCCGCGGUAA